GUCGAACGAGAUCUUCGGAUCUAGUGGCGCACGGGUGCGUAACGCGUGGGAAUCUGCCCUUGGGUUCGGAAUAACAGCGGGAAACUGCUGCUAAUACCGGAUGAUGACGAAAGUCCAAAGAUUUAUCGCCCAAGGAUGAGCCCGCGUAGGAUUAGGUAGUUGGUGGGGUAAAGGCCUACCAAGCCUACGAUCCUUAGCUGGUCUGAGAGGAUGAUCAGCCACACUGGGACUGAGACACGGCCCAGACUCCUACGGGAGGCAGCAGUAGGGAAUAUUGGACAAUGGGGGCAACCCUGAUCCAGCAAUGCCGCGUGAGUGAUGAAGGCCUUAGGGUUGUAAAGCUCUUUUACCCGGGAUGAUAAUGACAGUACCGGGAGAAUAAGCCCCGGCUAACUCCGUGCCAGCAGCCGCGGUAAUACGGAGGGGGCUAGCGUUGUUCGGAAUUACUGGGCGUAAAGCGCACGUAGGCGGCGAUUUAAGUCAGAGGUGAAAGCCCGGGGCUCAACCCCGGAACUGCC
Molecule: ribosomal RNA, 518 nt
Filed under: uncultured Alphaproteobacteria bacterium
Lineage: Bacteria; Pseudomonadati; Pseudomonadota; Alphaproteobacteria
Description: bacterial SSU rRNA
Rfam family: Bacterial small subunit ribosomal RNA
Source: RNAcentral